This 86-nucleotide transfer RNA is filed under the name Chloroflexota bacterium. RNAcentral's name for it is "tRNA-Tyr". It matches the Rfam family "tRNA". Rfam says of the family: Transfer RNA (tRNA) molecules are approximately 80 nucleotides in length. Their secondary structure includes four short double-helical elements and three loops (D, anti-codon, and T loops). RNAcentral also lists the same sequence under 2 other names. The record is from RNAcentral. Lineage: Bacteria; Bacillati; Chloroflexota.
GGAGGGAUGGGAGAGUGGCUAAAUCCAUCAGUCUGUAAAACUGACGCCUUCGGGCUACACAGGUUCGAAUCCUGUUCCCUCCACCA